UUUGUACUCCCUCCGUCCCAAAAUUUUUGUCGGGAAAAUGGAUAUAUCUAGACGUAUUUUAGUUCUAGACACAUCCAUUUUUCCGACAAGUAAUUCCGGACGGAAGGAGUAUUAU
This is a non-coding RNA of Triticum aestivum (bread wheat), 115 nucleotides long. The record is from Rfam. Lineage: Eukaryota; Viridiplantae; Streptophyta; Magnoliopsida; Poales; Poaceae.